ACCAGGCGUAUAUUGGCAGUAACCACAGAUCAGCCCAUCCUCCCUCUCUCCUUGUUCGUCUCCCAUUUCAGAAUUGUAUCUUUAGAUAGGUUAAUCUGCAGAAAAAAAAUAGCGUAAAUCAAGAGUCCCAAUCUUCUAACGGACAAUUACUGGCAUGUAUGUAAAAAGUUUAGAAAGUAUUAUGCAAAACAGAAGAAAGCGGACAUUCACCAAACAAAAUUUGGUUUAGCAAUAGAAGAAGUGCAAAAACAAAGAAAAUUAUACAAAUAACUAACUAAAUUAGAGAGCUCGCAGCAGAUUCAAAUAAAGAUGGAUAAACUAUUCGCAGAGCCCAACAGGAGAAUUCACUGAGAGAAAUCGAGAAGGGGGAUAAUAAAGAGAUAUAUACAAGGGAAUAGACGAUAGAGCAGAGACGCAGAUGAAAACAAUGAGAAGGCUCUGCAGGUCAUGGCGCUUACUCAACAAUUUUUAGGCUAC
RNAcentral lists this long non-coding RNA (477 nucleotides) under Nicotiana tabacum (common tobacco). RNAcentral's name for it is "long non-coding RNA (NTAB_LNC004976)". Lineage: Eukaryota; Viridiplantae; Streptophyta; Magnoliopsida; Solanales; Solanaceae. The record is from RNAcentral.